GAGUCUGAGGGUGAUCUAGCUGCGACAUCUGUCACUCCAUUGAUCGCCAGGGCUGAUUCGGCUGAUCUGGCUGGCUAGGCAGGUGUCCCCUUCCUCCCUCACAACUCCAUGUGUGUCCCUCCCCAAGCUGCAUGCUCGGUCAAAGAGGAUGUCCUUCCCCAAAUGGAGAUGGUCUUCAAUCGAGGGUAUAGGAGUAGCCGUGUUCCCCUGCUAGAACCUCCAAACAAGCUCUCAAGAAAACCCAACUGUAUAAAUGUCUUAUAACUCAGUAAGAAAACUGUGGCUUAAUGGGAGAAGCACUAGAGAGAGAGUCAACAACACUGCCUACACCCAU
This is a non-coding RNA of Erinaceus europaeus (western European hedgehog), 334 nucleotides long. The record is from Rfam. NCBI's taxonomy places the organism in Eukaryota, Metazoa, Chordata, Mammalia, Eulipotyphla, Erinaceidae.